RNAcentral lists this ribosomal RNA (307 nucleotides) under uncultured bacterium. RNAcentral's name for it is "bacterial SSU rRNA". It matches the Rfam family "Bacterial small subunit ribosomal RNA", at positions 28 to 334 of the family's 1533-position model. The record is from RNAcentral.
GACGAACGCUGGCGGCGUGCCUAACACAUGCAAGUCGAACGGAGCAGAUCCCUUCGGGGGUUUGCUUAGUGGCGAACGGGUGAGUAACGCGUGAGGAACCUCCCUUUCAGUGGGGGACAACAGUUGGAAACGACUGCUAAUACCGCAUAAUGCUUUUGAGCAGCAUCGCUUGAAAGCCAAAGAUUUAUCGCUGAAAGAUGGUCUCGCGUCUGAUUAGCUAGUUGGUGAGGUAACGGCUCACCAAGGCGACGAUCAGUAGCCGGUCUGAGAGGAUGAACGGCCACAUUGGGACUGAGAUACGGCCCAG